RNAcentral lists this non-coding RNA (1610 nucleotides) under Pan troglodytes (chimpanzee). The record is from RNAcentral. Lineage: Eukaryota; Metazoa; Chordata; Mammalia; Primates; Hominidae.
GAGAGAGGGUGCGCAGACGGCCAGCGGGGCCGCGCCAGGGACAUACUGGAGACAGGAAGUGGCUGAGAGGGGGAGAGAGUUGGAGAGAGACGGCCGCGGAGGACACGGGGACGGGAAAGUCUGAGAGACGGGGAGAGCCUGACCCGGCGGGACACAGGCAGAAAGAAACACGCGAGCCAGACAGACGCAGAAGAAACGUGCCUGGUACUGGAUAGGAACUUCAUGGAAUGGAGCUAAUGGGCCGUAGGGCAGGUUUGAGUCGUGCCACCCUGGAGCAGAAGGUGGAGGGUAGGGAUAAGGGGGUGGAGCACCUGAUUCCAAUCUUGCCGCACGGAAGAAGAGUCUGUGAAGAAGGUGGAGAGAAACUAGGAGAAAAGCACAGGAUGUAGAGGUCUAUUCGGCAUAAUCUUCUCCCUCAUUUUCAUCUUCACCAUCAACAGAGAGAGCAGCAUACUUGCUUGCAGAACUGAACUUCUGUAACACAACGAGAGUGACAGGAUAAUGAAGGCCCUGAAUUAUCACAUCAAAACCCAAGACACAGGAUACUGAUCCUUUGGCAAUGGGGGAUGACAGUCAGAUGACACCCACUUGCUUGCUCAUCAGCAUUGUCCACUGGAGAGGAGCUAGGGAAGAGGGUCAGAGGCACAUGUGAUCUUACUAUAGUCUCAUACCACCUCUACACCUUGCAGAAGGGAUGAGAACAAAGGAAGACAGAAACCAGGAAAAAGCUAAACUUCUUCCGCUAUUUCAGAUAAAGACCAAUGUCUUAUUUCCAAACACUUUGUAUUCCAAAUGGAAAGAAGUCCAACGGCAAAAAGUUUAGAAUACUAAGAAUUUUUCUUAGAAUGAAAAAUUGGGAGCAGCCUUCAACACUUACGGAAGCUGGAUUUUCCUCAGGUUUCUUUGGCUCAGGUGCAGAUCUGGAGUCUUGAUCCUUCUUGCCAUCUUUCCUGCAGAGACGUAAGCAUAAAACCAUGUCUUUAGGAAAGGACUCGCCUAAUACAAACAUGUGCAUGCAUGCAGUUUCAAGGCACUGAACAGGCACCUCUAGUCAACAGUCCUUGUUGUCUGGAUGAUGUAUUACUUCUAGAUUUUCAGAAUCUUAACUGCCUACGUUGGCUGACUUUAGUUUGCUCACAAUGAGCGAUCUGGCAGUGCUCUGAGAACCAAGAACUUAAUUUCUUAAUUACACAAACAUGUGGAUCAGAGGAAAGACGAGAAAGAGAACAAGCAUACCUAUCUGACUCCUUCCAGUGGUCUCUGUUCCCUCCGUCUCCUGGACCACGGCUAGAGUUCCCAGUUUGGCCUUUUGGGGCAUUCAUCCCAUCUACUUUUUCAUCUGCUUGGGCAGUAAUGUAAACAAAUUAAAGGCAAGUAAAAGUAUCAAUGUCCCUCUCCUAAGAUUUCCCUUAAGCUGAAGAAAAUUGUGCCCACAUGUACUGAGGGAAACUAACCUCACCCCAACCCAGACUUCCUUCCUGAAGCCCUUCUUUCCACAUCCUCUACAGCACACAAAAAUACAAAAAACAAACAAAAUCCACUAAAAAGUUCCAUGUAGGGAUAUGCCAUCACGAAAAGCAAGCUGGAAAUAAAGACUAUGACGCUCUGUA